GAUGAAGAACGCAGCGAAAUGCGAUAAGUAGUGUGAAUUGCAGAAUUCAGUGAAUCAUCGAAUCUUUGAACGCACAUUGCGCCCUUUGGUAUUCCUUAGGGCAUGCCUGUUCGAGCGUCAUUUAAACCUUCAAGCUAAGCUUGGUGUUGGGUGACUGUCCGCUUCACGGCGGACUCGCCUCAAAAUUAUUGGCGGCCGGUACAUUGGCUUCGAGCGCAGCAGAAACGCGAACUCGGGCCCGUCGUAUUGGCUCCCAGAAGCUAUCUUCACAAUUUUGACCUCGUAUCAGGUAGGGAUACCCGCUGAACUUAAGCAUAUCAAUAAGCGGAGGA
RNAcentral lists this unclassified non-coding RNA (332 nucleotides) under soil metagenome. Its description in RNAcentral is "partial contains 5.8S ribosomal RNA, internal transcribed spacer 2, and large subunit ribosomal RNA". The stretch from base 1 to 120 matches the Rfam family "5.8S ribosomal RNA", at positions 35 to 154 of the family's 154-position model. The record is from RNAcentral.